Molecule: non-coding RNA, 29 nt
Filed under: Rattus norvegicus (Norway rat)
Lineage: Eukaryota; Metazoa; Chordata; Mammalia; Rodentia; Muridae
Source: RNAcentral
UCCAUAAUGUUAGAAUCUGGAGAAGUCAC